Molecule: ribosomal RNA, 499 nt
Filed under: uncultured bacterium
Lineage: Bacteria
Description: partial 16S ribosomal RNA
Rfam family: Bacterial small subunit ribosomal RNA
Source: RNAcentral
AUCAACGCUGGCGGCGUGCCUAACACAUGCCAGUCGCACGCGAAAGCCCCGCAAGGGGUAAGUAGAGUGGCAAACGGGUGAGUAACACGUGGGUGACCUGCCUUCGAGUGGGGGAUAACGUCCCGAAAGGGACGCUAAUACCGCAUGACAUCCUGCUUUUGAAAAAGCGGAGAUCAAAGCUGGGGAUCGCAAGACCUAGCGCUUGAAGAGGGGCCCGCGCCUGAUUAGCUAGUUGGUGAGGUAACGGCUCACCAAGGCGACGAUCAGUAUCCGGCCUGAGAGGGCGGACGGACACACUGGGACUGAGACACGGCCCAGACUCCUACGGGAGGCAGCAGUGGGGAAUUGUUCGCAAUAGGCGCAAGCCUGACGACGCAACGCCGCGUGGAGGACGAAGAUCUUCGGGUCGUAAACUCCUGUCGAGCGGGACGAACGCUUCGCGGAUGAAUAAUCCGCGGAAUUGACGGUACCGCUAAAGGAAGCCCCGGCUAACUCCGUG